This 443-nucleotide ribosomal RNA is filed under the name uncultured bacterium. Its description in RNAcentral is "partial 16S ribosomal RNA". It matches the Rfam family "Bacterial small subunit ribosomal RNA", at positions 338 to 795 of the family's 1533-position model. The record is from RNAcentral.
CCUACGGGUGGCAGCAGUGGGGAAUAUUGGUCAAUGGAGGAAACUCUGACCCAGCAACGCCGCGUGCAUGAUGAAGGUCUUCGGAUUGUAAAGUUCUUUUCUAAGGGAGGUAGAAAGUGACGGUCCCUUAGGAAUAAGCCUCUGCUAACUACGUGCCAGCAGCCGCGGUAAUACGUAGGAUGCGAGCGUUAUCCGGAAUGACUGGGCGUAAGGGGUGCGUAGGUGGUUUGGCAAGUUAGUAGCAUAACUCCAAGGCUCAACCUUGGAACUACUACUAAAACUGUUGGACUUGAGUGCAGGAGGGGCAGCCGGAAGUCCUGGUGUAGCGGUGGAAUGCGUAGAUAUUAGGAGGAACACCAGUGGCGAAGGCGGGUUGCUAGACUGUAACUGACACUGAGGCACGAAAGCGUGGGGAGCAAACAGGAUUAGAUACCCUUGUAGUC